GUUGGCUUUGGAGCCAGCGAUAUGUGGCCGCCUAGUGAGGGUGUAGAGGUGGUGUGAUAUUGAGGCAUUGUCGGAUAGGGAACUGGAGAUGUAGAGGGAGUGAUGGGAGGGUUUUGGAGGCGAAGAAAAUAGGAGGAAGAAGAGAGAGGUGGCUAUUGCCGUACAGAUGGAGACUUUGAACAUGGGGUUUGAUUUUUGGUUGUCGGUAGAUUUCUUGGAGGCUUGAAUGUUUGUUGUGAAGCUGCUUUGCUCAAGGCGGCUCUGUGGGUUUUGGAAGGAUCUGUUAAGCAAGAAAAGCUCUGAAACACACCAAAGACUCUCUCUGAGAAAAC
This 332-nucleotide long non-coding RNA is filed under the name Vitis vinifera (wine grape). RNAcentral describes it as "long non-coding RNA (VVIN_LNC003389)". The record is from RNAcentral. Lineage: Eukaryota; Viridiplantae; Streptophyta; Magnoliopsida; Vitales; Vitaceae.